CAGGUAUCGAAAGUAGCCGAUACUAGCAAUUUAAGUACUCACUUCCGGUAUCGAAAAUUGAAAUUUUGUGUUCAUUUUGGUAUCGAAAUCGGUAUCGGCCGAUACCGAUCUUAAAAGUAUCGGUAUCGAAUUAAAAAUCCUGGUAUCGCCCAUCACUAUCCGGCAGUCAAAACUUCGGCUCCGGCAAGAAAUUUUUAAGGAAAUUCCAUAUUUAAAAGUGGAAGCAGGCAAAAGUAUUGGUAAUCGUUCCAUGUUUCACGCACCAAUAUAGUAAACGUUAUGUAAUGGAUAUUAUAUUGCACUGAAAAGUUAACUGGAUACUUCCAUACACAUAUAUACACACCCUAAACCUAACCCCUAACCUAACCCCUAAUACCUAACCCCUAGCCCUAACUUAUAUUGGUGCGCGAAACAUGGAACGAUAACCAAAGUAUUUCAG
Non-coding RNA from Paramuricea clavata, 439 nucleotides. NCBI's taxonomy places the organism in Eukaryota, Metazoa, Cnidaria, Anthozoa, Malacalcyonacea, Plexauridae. The record is from the annotation of a GenBank genome assembly.